ACGGGAGGCAGCAGUGGGGAAUAUUGCACAAUGGGGGAAACCCUGAUGCAGCGACGCCGCGUGAGUGAUGAAGUAUUUCGGUAUGUAAAGCUCUAUCAGCAGGGAAGAUAAUGACGGUACCUGACUAAGAAGCACCGGCUAAAUACGUGCCAGCAGCCGCGGUAAUACGUAUGGUGCAAGCGUUAUCCGGAUUUACUGGGUGUAAAGGGAGCGUAGGCGGUACGGCAAGUCUGAAGUGAAAUCCCAGGGCUCAACCUUGGAACUGCUUUGGAAACUGUCGAACUAGAGUGUCGGAGAGGUAAGUGGAAUUUCUAGUGUAGCGGUGAAAUGCGUAGAUAUUAGGAGGAACACCAGUGGCGAAGGCGGCUUACUGGACGAUUACUGACGCUGAGGCUCGAAAGCGUGGGGAGCAAACAGGAUUAGAUACCCUGGUA
RNAcentral lists this ribosomal RNA (434 nucleotides) under uncultured Roseburia sp. RNAcentral's name for it is "bacterial SSU rRNA". It matches the Rfam family "Bacterial small subunit ribosomal RNA", at positions 341 to 792 of the family's 1533-position model. The record is from RNAcentral. Lineage: Bacteria; Bacillati; Bacillota; Clostridia; Lachnospirales; Lachnospiraceae.